ACCUGCGGAAGGAUCAUUAUUAAAUGGGAGUUCUAAUUCCCAAAAAUGGAUACCCUUGCAUAUAAGUACUACUGUUUUCUCGGCAGGCUUGCCUGUCAAUGAGAACCCUUGUAAACCUUUUUCAUAUUUUUGUAACCGUACCUGUAUAACAAAUCAAAACUUUCAACAACGGAUCUCUUGGUUCUGGCAUCGAUGAAGAACGCAGCGAAAUGCGAUAAGUAGUGUGAAUUGCAGAAUUCAGUGAAUCAUCGAAUCUUUGAACGCACAUUGCGCCCUGUGGAAUUCCGCAGGGCAUGCCUGUUCGAGCGUCAUUUAAUUCUCUCAAGCUCUGCUUGGUGUUGGGUGUUUGUUCUGCCUUGUUAGCAUGGACUCGCCUUAAAAUUAUUGGCUGCCACCUCUUUGGCACUGAGCACAGCACUUUUGUCUCAUGCUAUAGGGUUGUGGUGCUCCAAAAGCACUUUUAUCUUUAGUUGACCUCGGAUCAGGUAGGGAUACCCGCUGAACUUAAGCAUAUCAAUAAGCGGAGGAAAAGAAACC
RNAcentral lists this ribosomal RNA (537 nucleotides) under Leptosphaeria marina. RNAcentral's name for it is "eukaryotic LSU rRNA". The stretch from base 158 to 311 matches the Rfam family "5.8S ribosomal RNA". The record is from RNAcentral. Lineage: Eukaryota; Fungi; Ascomycota; Dothideomycetes; Pleosporales; Leptosphaeriaceae.